UGUGGCGACUCCUAGAAACUCAAGAGCAGU
Molecule: non-coding RNA, 30 nt
Filed under: Cricetulus griseus (Chinese hamster)
Lineage: Eukaryota; Metazoa; Chordata; Mammalia; Rodentia; Cricetidae
Source: RNAcentral